This 58-nucleotide transfer RNA is filed under the name Cyrtodactylus louisiadensis. RNAcentral describes it as "tRNA-Ser". Lineage: Eukaryota; Metazoa; Chordata; Lepidosauria; Squamata; Gekkonidae. The record is from RNAcentral.
GAGAAGGACAGGCGACCUGCUAAUUCGACACACCAAAUUUAAUCAUUUGGCCCUCUCC